This 253-nucleotide ribosomal RNA is filed under the name uncultured bacterium. Its description in RNAcentral is "partial 16S ribosomal RNA". It matches the Rfam family "Bacterial small subunit ribosomal RNA", at positions 524 to 776 of the family's 1533-position model. The record is from RNAcentral.
UACGUAGGGGGCAAGCGUUGUCCGGAAUCAUUGGGCGUAAAGAGCGUGUAGGCGGCUCGGUAAGUCCGCUCUGAAAGCCCGGGGCUCAACCCCGGGCCUGCAGUGGAUACGGGCUGGCUAGAGGCAGGCAGGGGAGAACGGAAUUCCUGGUGUAGCGGUGAAAUGCGCAGAUAUCAGGAGGAACACCGGUGGCGAAGGCGGUUCUCUGGGCCUGUACUGACGCUGAGGAGCGAAAGCGUGGGGAGCGAACAGG